This 199-nucleotide long non-coding RNA is filed under the name Elaeis guineensis (African oil palm). RNAcentral's name for it is "long non-coding RNA (EGUI_LNC011900)". The record is from RNAcentral. Lineage: Eukaryota; Viridiplantae; Streptophyta; Magnoliopsida; Arecales; Arecaceae.
CUUCUAAAUCGUGGUAGAUCUAAAUGAGUACAAUAUAAAUGCUAUCUUUCAUGCAUGAUUGGCACUAUAUACAAAUAUUUAUACUCAUCUCAUAAUUAAAAACUUCAUGUCUAUAUCCAUCCUAUAUUCAUCUUGAAGUGGGUUAAAUCAAAUCAAGUAGAGAUACAAAUUAGAUUGGGUUGGAUGAAUAAGAGAGGUU